Bombus huntii is the source of this 2148-nucleotide RNA transcript. It is a transcript of the gene named adrenodoxin-like protein 2, mitochondrial, with no coding region annotated. Lineage: Eukaryota; Metazoa; Arthropoda; Insecta; Hymenoptera; Apidae. The transcript is spliced from 4 exons. The record is from RefSeq and is a predicted model, not a curated record.
GAUAGCAAAUUAUACGUUAUUAAUAUUGAUACAAGUAUUUUAUUAUCAAACUAUUGCAAAUUAUCAUAUAUGUCAUUUUUCAAAAAUUGACUAAAAGGUAGUGGAUACUGUUAAUUACUAUUAUGCUAAGAUCUUGUACUAAAAUAAUGUUAAAACCAUUACGUUUCCAUUACCAUACAUACGUUUCCAUUUCCUCGUAUAAAAAGAACAUUCAUAUCAUCUGCCAUUUUAAAAUAACAUCAUUUAAAUAUUGAAUUUGCUUCUGAAAUAUUAAUUUGUCUCAUUUCUUUAACUCUAACACAUUGUAAACAAUGAUGACAUUAUACCAACUAUAAUACUAAAAAUCUAUUCCCCAUUCAUUCGAAAGAUUAUUUUUUGAAGCAAGGUUAACAUUGAAUGUUCCCAAACUUCAAUAACUGUACUUUACUUUCUUUACAAUAUCUAACAAUAUAUUAGAAUACUAUAAAAAAAUAUUGUAUGCACAAGAAACUGUUUAUAGCGAAAUAGCAAAAGAAUUAAUCACAUAUUAUAACUAAAACGAGAUUGUUAAGUAGAUUAUAUUAUACUGCAUAUGCGUUAGUGUUUCAGCUGGUAAAUAUAGUUUUUAUAUCUGAAGAUAAAUAAGAUUUAAUUCUAUAAAAUUGCAUAAUGAAUUAUACAUCUAUCUAUUACUAUUCGUAUUUCCCCUUAGUUGUAUGUUGUCAAUAGCAUCAAUCACGAACAUAUAAAUAAAUAUAGAAGAAACCGUUCGGAAAUGGAAAGGGAAAAAUGAACAUGGAAGACAAGAAAGUUUUCUUCAGGUUUAGCGUAUGCGUGAUACGCUUUGAAUGUCUCAGAUAAAGAUAAAGAUACUCUGCUCAUUUCUAUUUGUUCCGCAGAACGAGAAAUUUGUUGUCUUUCAUAUUGGUUUUUACGAUUCAAUUUUUGGGCAGUUUUCCCUAGCGAGUGUCGGUUCCUGUUUGAUAUAACCAGACCGUAAUUUAUACAGAUAUGUAUUAUAGAUAUAUAUUUGUAAAACUGAAAUCAGAUGAAAUAAAUGUUGCCUGAGGUUUUAAACGUUUAAUAAAAACAAUAUUUCAUUUGAAAAAAAUGUAAGAUAUGUAAAAUUACACAUUGAUCAUUUUGCUGGUCUUGUAUCAUAAAACGUGUGGCCCGAAGAGCACGUGUCCGGUAGAGAUACGUCACUUGUGUUAGGAAUCGUUUUAUAACCUAUCACAGUAAAGGAACGUCCCAGUAUAGCAGCCGAAGAAUGCAGUGGAAGUUUUUGUACAAAGUACAAUUGAUCUACAAUUGAUAUUUUCCGCAAUACUUAUCUGGUGUUCAGUCAGGGUGUCCCAUACUCAUGAUAUUUAUGACAGUGGAAUGGCGUUAGUAAAUCAAUUACAAAAAUUUUCGAGAUCAAUUCUCGGUAUUGCAUCAAAUUAUUCAAAAUAUACAAGCAACACAACGUUGCCCUUUUUGCAGGCAACAAGAGGAAUAUCGACCACGCAACCACUUUCAGAAAAACAAGAGAGUAUAACAUCUAGAAAAAUAACAUAGUAUUAAUAGAAUAGUAUUAAUAAGAACAACAUUGACAGUGAACAACUAAAAAUAUAACACUGUUAUAAAUAUAUGAUAUACGAAUUUUAUUUAUGUAUUAUUAAGACAAGUAUAUCUUAUUUUUAAAUUAUUUCUAUUAUCAUAAGUGAUACAUAUAAUUAAGAGUAAAUAUAACGUUUGUUAAAGCAAGUGGAGAGAGAAUCAAAGCAAAAGGGAAAGUAGGAGAUACUAUAUUAGACAUAGUAGUAAAUAAUGAAAUUGAUUUAGGUGGAUAUGGUCACGGCUAGGCUGUCAAAUAGUAAUGUCUAAGGAACUAGAUGGAAUUGAGGUAAGAGUUCCAUCAACAAUUAAUGAUGCAAGAGCAUAACUGAAAUUAUCUAUAGGUUUUUGAAAAUUUGUAUACAAUGUUAUACAUCUCUUGUUAAAAAACCCUUGUUAUAAUUAUUAAAAUAUUGGUAUUAAAAAAAUAUAAUAAAGAAUCUUGUGUUUAAAUGUGAAGCUUAUAUAUAUACAUAUGUUAUAGUAUAAUUGCAAUUUUGAUAUUUGUACAUUGCCAUUGUAAAAAGCCUAUCCAAUUAUGAAGAAAAUAUAUCUUUUAUUUUUAAUAUA